GGCCAGAGAUGGUCGCCCCCUUGUGGUCGGUGUACAGGUGGUGCAUGGUUGUCGUCAGCUCGAGUCGUGAGAUGUUGGGUUAAGUCCCGCAACGAGCGCAACCCUCGUUCUAUGUUGCCAGCGCGUUAUGGCGGGGACUCAUAGGAGACUGCCGGGGUCAACUCGGAGGAAGGUGGGGAUGACGUCAAAUCAUCAUGCCCCUUAUGUCUUGGGCUUCACGCAUGCUACAAUGGCCGGUACAAAGGGCUGCGAUACCGUAAGGUGGAGCGAAUCCCAAAAAGCCGGUCUCAGUUCGGAUUGAGGUCUGCAACUCGACCUCAUGAAGUCGGAGUCGCUAGUAAUCGCAGAUCAGCAA
This 355-nucleotide ribosomal RNA is filed under the name Curtobacterium pusillum. RNAcentral's name for it is "bacterial SSU rRNA". It matches the Rfam family "Bacterial small subunit ribosomal RNA", at positions 998 to 1355 of the family's 1533-position model. The record is from RNAcentral. Lineage: Bacteria; Bacillati; Actinomycetota; Actinomycetes; Micrococcales; Microbacteriaceae.